UCGAUGAAGAACGCAGCGAAAUGCGAUAAGUAAUGUGAAUUGCAGAAUUCAGUGAAUCAUCGAAUCUUUGAACGCACCUUGUGCCCCUUGGCUAUUCCGAGGGGCAUGCCUGUUUGAGUAUCAUGAACACCUCAACUCUCAUGGUUUCGNCCAUGAUGAGUUGGACUCUGGGGGUUUUGCUGGCCUGUGGUCGGCUCCUCUCAAAUUAAUCAGCCUCCCAGUGUUUGGUGGCAUCACGGGUGUGAUAAAUAUCUACGCUCGCUGUUGUCUGCCAGGUAACCUUUGGUCACAAAGGUUUGCUGGAGCUCACAGAUGUCUCUCCUCAGCGAGGACAGCUUUUUAACGUUCGAUCUCAAAUCAGGUAGGACUACCCGCUGAACUUAA
RNAcentral lists this ribosomal RNA (384 nucleotides) under uncultured Thelephora. RNAcentral's name for it is "eukaryotic LSU rRNA". The stretch from base 1 to 123 matches the Rfam family "5.8S ribosomal RNA", at positions 33 to 154 of the family's 154-position model. The record is from RNAcentral. Lineage: Eukaryota; Fungi; Basidiomycota; Agaricomycetes; Thelephorales; Thelephoraceae.